Molecule: long non-coding RNA, 958 nt
Filed under: Prunus dulcis (almond)
Lineage: Eukaryota; Viridiplantae; Streptophyta; Magnoliopsida; Rosales; Rosaceae
Description: sRNA ncRNA
Source: RNAcentral
GUGGUGUGUGCGUGCAUGGGUAUUAUUACCCUUUCGCCUCAGCCCCUUAAUUAUAAAACCAUCCUCGCGCACGACUUUUCCCCCAAAAAAUGUUAGGAUUCUGAAAUUUGGGGAAAAGGCUGGUCGAUUUCGAGUUAUAGCUUUCGAUUCAGAUUCAAUCGAUGAAGAUUUGAUAGGCAAAGUCACGAUUUGAAAGGGAAUCAUCAAUUUCAUGUAGGAAUUCAUCCAUUUUUAGGGUAAUUUCUUGUUUGAUUUGGUUCUAUGUCGAUUUCAGUUUCUAAAUUUUCCUAUUUCUUGUAUUUUUUUUUUAAUUUCAGUUUGUACAAUUAGCUGUGUUUCUUGUAGUUUGCAGAUGUCUACUUCAUCUUCUCAUAGAUUGAGGUGCCCUUUAUAUGGAGCUAAAAUGAAAUUACUUCUAUCAACUACAGAACAACAUUACAACAAAUAUUUCUAGAAGUGUACAAGGAAAUAUGCAAGGCAUGGUUUUGAAUCAGUUUUAUUUUAUGAUAUGGAUAUUGUGGUUAUGCAAAGUGGUUGUAUGAUGUAGGGAAGUGUUGGAUGCCAAGAUUUUGUAUGGUGCGAUGAUGUUGACAACACAAAAGGGAGGGAAGAUAUCAUCUUUAGAGACUUGCAAUGGAUGGAAAACAAUGGUAGCAAGGACAUGGUGUUUCAAUCUGUGCAGCUACAAGUUGGAGAUUUUUGAAUAUGUUGAAAGGAAUAAAAGAGAUGUUGUUGAUCAUUUGUAUCUUGAUUGCUGUCAAUGUGGUUUUCAAUUUAGUUAAAAAAAUGAGAUGCUUAGAUGGUGCUUCAAUUUGGGUAAAGGCAUGUUUUGGUUGUAACAUUCUGCUCAAACGUUUUGGUUGUAACAUUGUGAUCAAAAUUUAGGGAAAGACAUGUCUCAGAGGUUGUAAAUUUCUAGUCAUGAAAUGAAAACAUUCAGCUCUUGUUUUGGUUGUUA